AUACGUAGGGGGCGAGCGUUGUCCGGAAUUAUUGGGCGUAAAGGGCGUGUAGGCGGCUAUGCAAGUCGGCUGUGAAACCCCCCGGCUCAACUGGGGGCUUGCAGUUGAAACUGUGUAGCUUGAGUGCAGGAGAGGAGGGUGGAAUUCCUGGUGUAGCGGUGGAAUGCGUAGAUAUCAGGAGGAACACCGGUGGCGAAGGCGGCCUUCUGGCCUGUUACUGACGCUGAGGCGCGAAAGCCAGGGGAGCGAACAGGAUUAGAUACCCUGGUAGUCCUGGCUGUAAACGCUGGGUACUAGGUGUAGGUGGUUUAAUGCCAUCUGUGCCGUAGUUAACGCAUUAAGUACCCCGCCUGGGGAGUACGGUCGCAAGGCUGAA
Molecule: ribosomal RNA, 376 nt
Filed under: uncultured bacterium
Lineage: Bacteria
Description: bacterial SSU rRNA
Rfam family: Bacterial small subunit ribosomal RNA
Source: RNAcentral